RNAcentral lists this ribosomal RNA (284 nucleotides) under uncultured prokaryote. Its description in RNAcentral is "partial 16S ribosomal RNA". It matches the Rfam family "Bacterial small subunit ribosomal RNA", at positions 524 to 819 of the family's 1533-position model. The record is from RNAcentral.
UACGUAGGGGCGAGCGUUGUCCGGAAUGAUUGGGCGUAAAGCGCGCGCAGGCGGGUGGGGAAGUCGGAAGUGAAAGGCCGGGGCUCGACCCCGGAGGCGCUUCCGAUACUCUCUGUCUAGGGACCGGUAGAGGCCGGUGGAAUUCCCGGUGUAGCGGUGGAAUGCGUAGAUAUCGGGAGGAACACCGAUGGCGAAGGCAGCCCCUGGGCCUGUACUGACGCUCAUGCACGAAAGCGUGGGGAGCAAACAGGAUUAGAUACCCCGGUAGUCCCUGAGCGGGCUGG